This 686-nucleotide ribosomal RNA is filed under the name uncultured bacterium. RNAcentral's name for it is "bacterial SSU rRNA". It matches the Rfam family "Bacterial small subunit ribosomal RNA", at positions 55 to 750 of the family's 1533-position model. The record is from RNAcentral.
AUGCAGUCGAACGGUGAUAUUUAUAUCAUAGUGGCGCACGGGUGCGUAACACGUAUGCAACCUACCUAUUAUUGGGGGAUAGCCUUUGGAAACGGAGAUUAAUACCGCAUAAUACGAUUAACUGGCAUCGGUUGAUUGUUAAAGCAUUUGCGAUAAUAGAUGGGCAUGCGUCCAACUAGUUAGUUGGUGUGGUAAUGGCUCACCAAGACGAUGAUUGGUAGGGGAUCUGAGAGGAUAAUCCCCCACACUGGCACUGAGAUACGGGCCAGACUCCUACGGGAGGCAGCAGUAGGGAAUAUUGGGCAAUGGGCGAAAGCCUGACCCAGCCAUGCCGCGUGCAGGAAGACGGCGUUAUGCGUUGUAAACUGCUUUUUUAUAGGAAGAAGGAUCCCUUGCGAGGGAAGGUGACGGUACUAUAAGAAUAAGCACCGGCUAACUCCGUGCCAGCAGCCGCGGUAAUACGGAGGGUGCAAGCGUUGUCCGGAUUUAUUGGGUUUAAAGGGUGCGUAGGCGGUUUAUUAAGUCAGUGGUGAAAGACGGUCGCUCAACGAUUGCAGUGCCAUUGAUACUGGUAGACUUGAGUGAGAUUGAGGUAGCUGGAAUGGAUAGUGUAGCGGUGAAAUGCAUAGAUAUUAUCCAGAACACCGAUUGCGAAGGCAGGUUACUAAGUCUUAACUGACGCUGAG